UGGGGAAUUUUGGACAAUGGGCGAAAGCCUGAUCCAGCAAUGCCGCGUGUGUGAAGAAGGCCUUCGGGUUGUAAAGCACUUUUGUCCGGAAAGAAAGUCCUUGGCUCUAAUACAGUCGGGGGAUGACGGUACCCGGAAGAAUAAGCACCGGCUAACUACGUGCCAGCAGCCGCGGUAAUACGUAGGGUGCAAGCGUUAAUCGGAAUUACCGGGCGUAAAGCGUGCGCAGGCGGUUUGCUAAGACCGAUGUGAAAUCCCCGGGCUCAACCUGGGAACUGCAUUGGUGACUGGCAGGCUAGAGUAUGGCAGAGGGGGGUAGAAUUCCACGUGUAGCAGUGAAAUGCGUAGAGAUGUGGAGGAAUACCGAUGGCGAAGGCAGCCCCCUGGGCCAAUACUGACGCUCAUGCACGAAAGGCGUGGGGAGCAAACAGGAUUAGAUACCCUGGUAGUCCACGCCCUAAACGAUGUCAACUAGUUGUU
This 480-nucleotide ribosomal RNA is filed under the name uncultured bacterium. Its description in RNAcentral is "partial 16S ribosomal RNA". It matches the Rfam family "Bacterial small subunit ribosomal RNA", at positions 355 to 824 of the family's 1533-position model. The record is from RNAcentral.